AUGCCAUUUGGGCACAAAACCAAUUUCAAAACCCAGAGUGCAAAACUUAAUUUGCGUAGCCAUGGGAAUAUCAAAUUUAUAGUGUUUUGGUUUACAAAUCGACUGCACCAGGUUGCAUUUUCUAGACUACAUUGUUGCCAAAUAAUGAAAGGAAACAUGAAACAAUUAUGUAAUGCCCAGCUACUUGUAAAACUAGUAACAUAUGUUAUCAUGUGUCAAGGCAUGGAAUUAGAUAUUAAAAGGUUUCCCAUGGCAUCAAAUCCAAGACCAAAAAUGAGCAACUCAAAUAUAGGUACAAUCAGUGGUCCAAUAAAAAUAAUUAGCCAGUAA
Non-coding RNA from Vicia faba (fava bean), 330 nucleotides. The record is from the annotation of a GenBank genome assembly. NCBI's taxonomy places the organism in Eukaryota, Viridiplantae, Streptophyta, Magnoliopsida, Fabales, Fabaceae.